UGGGGAAUCUUGCACAAUGGGCGAAAGCCUGAUGCAGCCAUGCCGCGUGAAUGAUGAAGGCCUUAGGGUUGUAAAAUCUUUCGCUAGGGAUGAUAAUGAC
Molecule: ribosomal RNA, 100 nt
Filed under: uncultured bacterium
Lineage: Bacteria
Description: partial 16S ribosomal RNA
Rfam family: Bacterial small subunit ribosomal RNA
Source: RNAcentral